Coregonus clupeaformis (lake whitefish) is the source of this 1280-nucleotide long non-coding RNA. RefSeq lists it as uncharacterized. NCBI's taxonomy places the organism in Eukaryota, Metazoa, Chordata, Actinopteri, Salmoniformes, Salmonidae. The record is from RefSeq and is a predicted model, not a curated record. The transcript is spliced from 2 exons.
UGUUUGAUGUAUUUGAUACCGUUCCACUAUUUCACUCCAGCCAUUACCACAAGCCCGUCCUCCCCAAUUAAGGUGCUGCCAACCUCCUGUGCCAAGCACCAUAAACUCUGAGGCUUACUCACCUCAGUAACAAUACUGGUAUUUACUCUCACCUUGAAGAAGUAUAAAUUAGAGAAGGCUCUGGCACCGAUCAGUCUUCCUACAAUUGAUGAUAGUAUUAUUAUCAACCUACAGUGUAUCAUUUCUACAAAUUCUAAACCAGAACGUGGCCAUGCUUCCAUGAGCCACUAGUGGAUUCUAAACCAGAACGUGGCCAUGCUUCCAUGAGCCACUAGUGGAUUCUAAACCAGAACGUGGCCAUGCUUCCAUGAGCCACUAGUGGAUUCUAAACCAGAACGUGGCCAUGCUUCCAGGAGCCACUAGUGGAUUCUAAACCAGAACGUGGCCAUGCUUCCAUGAGCCACUAGUGGAUUCUAAACCAGAACGUGGCCAUGCUUCCAUGAGCCACUAGUGGAUUCUAAACCAGACCGUGGCCAUGCUUCCAUGAGCCACUAGCGGGUGCUAAAGUUCAGCAGUAGCAUUGGUAUCAAACGUGAGGUGUCACUUUGCAGGAAUACCAGUUAACGCUUCAUUCACACUAUAGGGCCGUUCUGGCUCCGGGUGUUUUCUUUGCUCUUCAGGGUUCCAGCAGCUAUGGUGGAUGUGUAACCAGGCCAGCCUAGUACAACUCUGCUUGGCUCGGUUUGGCCUCCUAGUGGGAAUCAGGCAUUAGGGCAACAAGCAACAAGGGAAGAACCUUCUCCAUCACCUUCCUGUCAGCAUGUUAAAGGGAAAACAAAUACAAGAAACAUCACAUUUAACCAAAAAGCUUUUUCUUUUAGUUAUCCUAACUUUUUAAGAUAACUUUUUUUGCUUUUAUAUUUAUCAUAUUUUAUCUAUUUCUUCUUCGAGAGAGAGAGAGAGAAAAAAAGGGAUGUUUAAAAAAAAAGAAAAGGGAUGUUUAUAUUAUAACCAAACAAUUUCAUUAUUUUUGCACCUCUUUGUAGCUUUUAACUCACAAGGGUCUUAUUCCAGCAUUAUAACCAAGCAUCCCUUAGUAAAGAGUCAUCCCAAAUGCUACCCUAUUCCCUAUAGUACUCUUUGUGUAUUAAAGCGAUGGUGGUGAUUGUUGCUAUGAAAAGAGCCCGAUCCUCCUAACCUUGAACUGAGGUACUACAUCACAUAUAAAGACAGUAGCAGUGUAUUAUUAAACCACACUCUAUGUUAGAGGUAACGUUGAA